UCAUAUUUAAGUAGUGAAAUUUAAAACACUAAAAUAUAUGCCAAAAAAAUAUAAAUAAGCAUACAUCGAUGUUGCAAAUUAGUUCUUUUUAUUUGAUAAAAAAAAGUUGCAAAAUUAAAAAAAAGAACAUUAUAAAAUAAAAUAGUAAUAUUUCAUUGAAUAUAAACUAUAAUUACACCCAUAAUAUACAAUAUUAAAAUGGAAACAAUUUUCACCCUGUCUUUAAGUUGAAGGAGAAGUCAUUCUUCUUUCAAGUCUUCCACUUUACUUUUACUCAAACCAGACAUCAAAUGUGUAUGCUUCAAACAUAAAAGCAAAAUUUUGGAGGAAGAUUUAUUUAUUUUAUUCUAUAUUAUUAAGUAUUUACAAUACUGUAAUUUAUUUUAAAAACGACAACUACUAACUAGUUAUAACAACAACAUAAGGAACGAAAAUUACAUUCACCUUUCGGAAAUCCUAACCAUAAACAUCUUACGGCACAAUCAAUACAUAGUCCACCAAUGCAUGUUUCCGCUAUAUCGCUACCCGUUGCUCCUGUUAAAAAAAUCUCUCAAACUCAAAAUUCCUUUAUAUAUUUUAACAAUGAUAUACAAAAUAGAAUUUACAGGAAAAAGUUCAUAUUUCUUACCAAAAGAUAGGAGCAAUGUAAUGCAUAAAACUCCCAUGAGAAAAAGUUUGCAAAUGUGCACUGUCAUUUUUUCUGAAGAUUUUGUCUUUGUAUUCUAUUAUUAUCUUUUGUUCUCAGUAUUAUGCAUAGGAAACUUCAAGUUCUUUAUAUAGUACUCAUUUUAUAAAAAAUAUUUUGAGAGUUAAAU
This 815-nucleotide long non-coding RNA is filed under the name Lathyrus oleraceus (garden pea). RNAcentral's name for it is "Pisum sativum (pea) long non-coding RNA (PSAT_LNC011030)". The record is from RNAcentral. Lineage: Eukaryota; Viridiplantae; Streptophyta; Magnoliopsida; Fabales; Fabaceae.